CCAGGAAUUCUGGAGUGUCUCCAACUGAUGUGAACGUGAUGUGAUGAUAACACAGUGUAAACGGUGAAGUGACUGGAUCAGUAUCAGAGCCGCUGUGAGAUGAGAUUGGUGUGUCAGGGUCCUGAUGACGUGAGCACAGUGAAGGGGAAGCUGCACAUCUCCUGCUUCAGAGCGAACGAGCAGAUCAUCGACUCAGAAAGAGUGAGAGCUGGACACAACUACUGUCCACGGUCUCUGUGUGGUCCAGAUCACACUUGUGUUAGAUAUCAUGUCUUCUGAACCCAUACGAUAACUUUGAACAAAACUGAAGUUGUUUCUUUUACAUUUAAAUACAAUACUAAUAAUAAGACCAUCUUGCUAGUUUCUUUACAAACCAAUAAACUAAAACUGCUUCUUACUGUAUUUUCGUCCCUGUCCGAGGCAAGCUCAGCUUCUGUUCCCGAGGAACUGUGCACCCUCGUGACCCCAGAGGUGUAUCAAGACGAUUCGGGGAUAUUCAAACGCACAGCAUCAGAUCAGUUUGCUAGAAGUACAUACAGGACGGUUCAGAAAAGCAGUGUUUGGAGAUUGAUCCAGUGAUAAACUCUGAUGCAACCCCAGGCUAGACGUGGACAGCAAGUGCUCACUGAGUUUACUUUAGGUUUGAAAGUUUGUGAAACUGUUUUUUUUUACUUUUGCAUUAUAAAAUUAACUCUUUUAUUUAUAAACAGUGAUAUAGUGGAAGUGUAGGAACGUGCAGUCAAUUAUCAUUUCUUUAUUUUAUCUUUAUUCUUUUUAUAUAUAUAUAUAUGCUACACAAUUAUUGAAUUAUUUUCUGUUAACCUGAAUUUGCCUCCCAGCCGUGAAUAAUAAUGUGUGUUUGCUUGUAGCUGGACUGAAUAAGUCUCAUGUAAAGCUGCAUAUUUACGACGCACAGUGCAAGAGAAUCAAAUGUAUCUAAUA
Molecule: long non-coding RNA, 942 nt
Organism: Carassius gibelio (silver crucian carp)
Lineage: Eukaryota; Metazoa; Chordata; Actinopteri; Cypriniformes; Cyprinidae
Exons: 3
Source: RefSeq, a predicted model, not a curated record